GGUUUUAAACCCCAAACUGAAUUUUUCUUUUAGUCAGCAUUAGGGUUUUAAACCCUAAACUGAACUUUUUCCUUUCAGCCAGCAUUAGGGUUUUAAACCCUAAACUGAGCUUUUCCAUGCAAUCAGCAUUAGGGUUUUAAACCCUAAACUGAAUUUUUCUUUUAAUCAGCAUUAGGGUUUUAAACCCUAAACUGAAUUUUUCUUUUAGUCAGCAUUAGGGUUUUAAACCCUAAACUGAACUUUUUCCUUUCAGCCAGCAUUAGGGUUUUAAACCCUAAACUGAGCUUUUCCAUGCAAUCAGCAUUAGGGUUUUAAACCCUAAACUGAACUUUUCCUUUCAGCCAGCAUUAGAGUUUUAAGCUCUAAACUGAGCUUUUCCAUGCAAUCAGCAUUAGGGUUUUAAACCCUAAACUGAAUUUUCCUUUUAGUCAGCAUUAGGGUUUUAAACCCUAAACUGAACUUUUUCCUUUCAGCCAGCAUUAGGGUUUUAAACCCUAAACUGAGCUUUUCCAUGCAAUCAGCAUUAGGGUUUUAAACCCUAAACUGAAUUUUCCUUUCAGCCAGCAUUAGGGUUUUAAACCCUAAACUGAGCUUUUCCAUGCAAUCAGCAUUAGGGUUUUAAACCCUAAACUGAAUUUUCCUUUUAGUUAGCAUUAGGGUUUUAAACCCUAAACUGAGUUUUUCCAUGCAAUCAGCAUUAGGGUUUUAAACCCUAAACUGAGCUUUUGCUUCCAGUCAGCAUUAGGGUUUUAAACCCUAAACUGAGCUUUUCCAUAAAUCAGCAUUAGGGUUUUAAACCCUAAACUGAACUUUUUCCUUUAGUCAGCCUUAGGGUUUUAAACCCUAAACUGAAUU
RNAcentral lists this long non-coding RNA (855 nucleotides) under Nicotiana tabacum (common tobacco). Its description in RNAcentral is "long non-coding RNA (NTAB_LNC003253)". Lineage: Eukaryota; Viridiplantae; Streptophyta; Magnoliopsida; Solanales; Solanaceae. The record is from RNAcentral.